CCCGUGGUAGCUCAGUUGGUAGAGCGGAGGACUGUAGAAAAAGCUGAUGGCUAUCCUUAGGUCUCUGCUUCGAAUCCGGCUCGCGGGA
This is a non-coding RNA of Potamilus streckersoni, 88 nucleotides long. NCBI's taxonomy places the organism in Eukaryota, Metazoa, Mollusca, Bivalvia, Unionida, Unionidae. The record is from the annotation of a GenBank genome assembly.